GUUCAUGCACAAUCCACACAGCCAGGAAAGACGCAAGCACCGACGCCCCCGUCUUCCUCACACUGCAGUAGUUCAGCAGGUCCUAUUCUGCCUACCCGCAUCUGUACUUCUAUUAUGUAAAAGUAAUAUUCCCCGAUGUCCUCGCCCACCCUUGUUUUUCCUUGCCGGCCGCAUCUUACAAGUUACAACACCAAUGGACCACAUCCUCAUUGAUGAUUUUACCUGCCUGCGUAGCUGCACAUAUUGAUUUAAUACCUAAGAUUUCCUAUUUUACGCGCAUCACUGAAGGGAACCGUUUAACUGACACAUAAGUUUUUUGUUGAAAUAAAUGCAGGAUUCUUCUACCCCAAACGAUGAACAAGAGAUGAUUUCUGCACAGAGACAACAAGUUCAGAACCUGUAUGGUAUUUUGCUUAGUGUGUCCCCUGCUUUGUCUCUCUCUCUCUCUCUCUACGUAAAUAUUGUGCUCAUGUUUUUGUAUAUAAUGCAGGUUUGCUAAGGAAAUGACCAUAAUUUCGUGGUCAACCAAAAAGGCAUCUAUUCUUCAUCCCUUGAUCUCCCAGCUAGAGUUGGGGUAACCAAUUCUUAGUUUUUAAUUCAUGAUGGUUCUAAUUCACUUACAUUCAAGCCUCAUAAUGCUACUUUUAAGCCUCAUAACAAUCAGUUAAGUGUAAGACAAAAACCAUGUAGAAAAGCCAGUUCAACAACCUUUUUCACCAAGCUUAUACUUGAAUGGGCUGAUGCAUGUAGAUGUGAUAUGUAAUUUUAGUAAGAUGGGAACAUGACGAUUGAUGUUUCAAGUGAUGAUAAUGCAUAGGGACUGGAGGCGUGGUUUGAGGCGGCAGUUAACCGUACAAUUUUCACGAAGAAGAGUCCUUAUCUCUGCUUGGGGUGACGCUGCAAGAUCAGACGGAAACAUGACUUAUUAUGGUAGGCUCAGUCUCGUAUGUUCUUUUACCCCGCAGCUAAUCAAUUAUUCUGUGAUGUCCUCUCUUGUAUUCUAAUUAUGGCAUGCUCUUGUCUAUACUAAUUAGAUCAUGCAUUCAUUCAAGGUCAAGUCAGGGGCUCAGGGUAGACAGUUCAUAGUUUUCUUGCUGUUUCGUCUUUCUGCUGUUAGUUCAUUAUGCACGUCUUCUUUCUAUGCAUGUGUUGAUAACUCCAGUUGUUCCAAUCUGAUGAUGCUUUUUUUCGUGUUGUUGCUUCUGUAGGUUCUGAGAAUUUUACAUGGAUCAGGAAAUUCUAAUGUUUGACUUUGUAGUACUCAGGUAACAAUGACGUUUUGUGUAAUGUAGAUUAUUUAAAGAUUAUUGAUUUGAUAGCACUGAGAUUUCUCCUAAUACACCAUAGCAAGCAUGACUAAUAAAUCGUCCCAAAAAUGGGUAGUACAGGAGUGAUGUGCCCCAAAGCUAAUUAGUGUAGAGACCAUUGGAAAAUAGAAAUAUUGAAUUAUGUAUAGUUGGUAUAACUAGUCACCUAGAAUACUUAUCAUUUAGUCGGUUGCUGAAUUCAUCUCACUAUUAAUAUUAAUAUAAUUUUGGAUAAUUUUUGGUAGUAAACACAAGCAGAUGGUUGUUCACAAUGAAUAGCUACGUAUGAUUGGUCAAAGGUACUCGGUGUUUUAAUACAUAGUUUUUAUCUUAAAGAGCCAUGGGUAUUCAGAACAUGUGCAUGACAAUUAAGAGAGAAAUAGAAUGUCCUCGGUUUACAAAGUAAGGGUGAAGACCCGGAGUCUCUGUGUUUGUACUUCAUAGCAUGGCAAUCACCCUUUCGCUAGUGCGUAUUUUGUUAUUUCUUUACAGAGCGAUGCUACUGAUGUUGCAAGUAUCUGCACUUUCCACUUCUGCAUUUUGGUCUUUUUUAUAAAAAAAUAGACUGGAACACUAAAACUAUAUAAUGAUAGUUCAUAUAGUUUUGAAUUUAUGCGAGAUGCAAAAAAAGUUAGUACAUGGAUAUAGGGCAUAAUCAUGUUGUUUAAUAAUUGUUGUAGAUGUUUUUAUAACCAGAUUAUUAAUUAUCCCACCUCUAUGUACAAAUCUAAGUUUUGGUAAAAAACAUUUGUACGGUGCUCCUUUAAAUUUUACUUCUAUAUUAAUCUAAUUUACUUUACUAUAAUUUCUCGCCUCAUAUUGUUAUUUUGUAGAUUACCAAGAUAAAUUGAGGAUGCAUGACUCAGAUUUUGAUUGCAAGGCUAAGAAGAUUUUGAUUCCGAGGCAAAUAAUUUGGCUACAAGUCAAUUAGAAUGUAAUUUUUAGUAUCAAUGUUACAAACAUUAUAGUUGAUGGCAAGGUCAAGAAUUGGCCUACUACUAGAUAGUUUCACCUCUUGUAAUCUUUGGACCAUGUUCUUUGUAAUGCCACAUAUUUUAUUUAAUAUAUGAGACUGGAUUGUUU
Molecule: long non-coding RNA, 2390 nt
Filed under: Triticum aestivum (bread wheat)
Lineage: Eukaryota; Viridiplantae; Streptophyta; Magnoliopsida; Poales; Poaceae
Description: long non-coding RNA (TAES_LNC016446)
Source: RNAcentral